UCUUCCCUCUGGCGGCGUGCCUAAUACAUGCAAGUCGAGCGAACAGACGAGGAGCUUGCUCCUCUGACGUUAGCGGCGGACGGGUGAGUAACACGUGGAUAACCUACCUAUAAGACUGGGAUAACUUCGGGAAACCGGAGCUAAUACCGGAUAAUAUAUUGAACCGCAUGGUUCAAUAGUGAAAGACGGUUUUGCUGUCACUUAUAGAUGGAUCCGCGCCGCAUUAGCUAGUUGGUAAGGUAACGGCUUACCAAGGCAACGAUGCGUAGCCGACCUGAGAGGGUGAUCGGCCACACUGGAACUGAGACACGGUCCAGACUCCUACGGGAGGCAGCAGUAGGGAAUCUUCCGCAAUGGGCGAAAGCUUGACGGAGCAACGCCGCGUGAGUGAUGAAGGUCUUCGGAUCGUAAAACUCUGUUAUUAGGGAAGAACAAAUGUGUAAGUAACUAUGCACGUCUUGACGGUACCUAAUCAGAAAGCCACGGCUAACUACGUG
This 497-nucleotide ribosomal RNA is filed under the name uncultured bacterium. RNAcentral's name for it is "partial 16S ribosomal RNA". It matches the Rfam family "Bacterial small subunit ribosomal RNA", at positions 36 to 507 of the family's 1533-position model. The record is from RNAcentral.